This 303-nucleotide ribosomal RNA is filed under the name uncultured bacterium. RNAcentral describes it as "bacterial SSU rRNA". It matches the Rfam family "Bacterial small subunit ribosomal RNA", at positions 355 to 656 of the family's 1533-position model. The record is from RNAcentral.
UGAGGAAUAUUGGUCAAUGGUCGGGAGACUGAACCAGCCAAGCCGCGUGAGGGAAGAAGGUACAGCGUAUCGUAAACCUCUUUUGCCGGGGAACAAGAGCUUCCACGAGUGGGAGUGUGAGCGUACCCGGAGAAAAAGCAUCGGCUAACUCCGUGCCAGCAGCCGCGGUAAUACGGAGGAUGCGAGCGUUAUCCGGAUUUAUUGGGUUUAAAGGGUGCGUAGGCGGCGAGUUAAGUCAGCGGUAAAAGCCCGGGGCUCACCCCCGGCCCGCCGUUGAAACUGGCUGGCUUGAGUUGGGGAAAG